This 216-nucleotide unclassified non-coding RNA is filed under the name Hevea brasiliensis (rubber tree). The record is from RNAcentral. Lineage: Eukaryota; Viridiplantae; Streptophyta; Magnoliopsida; Malpighiales; Euphorbiaceae.
AACAAGAUAUCAAAAAUUGCACAACCUUCUAAAGGACAAAUUAGAAAUGCCUCUCCUGAAGGUGGUUCUACAUUGCGGCAGAGUCUUUCUGAUGGUUCUCUGGAUACAGUGGCUCGAAAGCCUGCAGACCCUGAAGAAGAGCUUCGAUGGAUGUCUCAAGAAGUGCGUGGUUAUGUUGAAGCGGUCUUGAAUAGUUUGGCGGCUAACGUUCCCAAA